RNAcentral lists this microRNA (18 nucleotides) under Sus scrofa (pig). RNAcentral's name for it is "ssc-mir208". The record is from RNAcentral. Lineage: Eukaryota; Metazoa; Chordata; Mammalia; Artiodactyla; Suidae.
GGGAAACGGGGCGCGGCC